Molecule: ribosomal RNA, 635 nt
Filed under: Latilactobacillus curvatus
Lineage: Bacteria; Bacillati; Bacillota; Bacilli; Lactobacillales; Lactobacillaceae
Description: bacterial SSU rRNA
Rfam family: Bacterial small subunit ribosomal RNA
Source: RNAcentral
GAUUGAAGAAGCUUGCUUCUGAUUGAUAACAUUUGAGUGAGUGGCGGACGGGUGAGUAACACGUGGGUAACCUGCCCUAAAGUGGGGGAUAACAUUUGGAAACAGAUGCUAAUACCGCAUAAAACCUAGCACCGCAUGGUGCAAGGUUGAAAGAUGGUUUCGGCUAUCACUUUAGGAUGGACCCGCGGUGCAUUAGUUAGUUGGUGAGGUAAAGGCUCACCAAGACCGUGAUGCAUAGCCGACCUGAGAGGGUAAUCGGCCACACUGGGACUGAGACACGGCCCAGACUCCUACGGGAGGCAGCAGUAGGGAAUCUUCCACAAUGGACGAAAGUCUGAUGGAGCAACGCCGCGUGAGUGAAGAAGGUUUUCGGAUCGUAAAACUCUGUUGUUGGAGAAGAACGUAUUUGAUAGUAACUGAUCAGGUAGUGACGGUAUCCAACCAGAAAGCCACGGCUAACUACGUGCCAGCAGCCGCGGUAAUACGUAGGUGGCAAGCGUUGUCCGGAUUUAUUGGGCGUAAAGCGAGCGCAGGCGGUUUCUUAAGUCUGAUGUGAAAGCCUUCGGCUCAACCGAAGAAGUGCAUCGGAAACUGGGAAACUUGAGUGCAGAAGAGGACAGUGGAACUCCAUGUGU